This is a long non-coding RNA of Neofelis nebulosa (Clouded leopard), 4462 nucleotides long. RefSeq lists it as uncharacterized. Lineage: Eukaryota; Metazoa; Chordata; Mammalia; Carnivora; Felidae. The record is from RefSeq and is a predicted model, not a curated record. The transcript is spliced from 5 exons.
AGAGGAGGGACAGAGAGACAGAGACACAGAAUCUGAAGCAGGCUCCAGGCUCUGAGCUGUCAGCACAGAGCCUGAGGUGGGGCUCCAACUCAGGAACCAGGAGAUCAUGACCUGAGCUAAAGUCGGCUGCAUAACCGACUGAGCCACCCAGGCAUGCCAUGAGCUUGGGAGAGGGCUCUGGGAUGCUUAAGAUGCUGCCUAGUGGCUGAAGGGAGAGAGUCACAGACACAAGUCCUGGCACCAGGGGGAUGCUAGAGGGGCACUCUGAGGCUGCAGAGCUCUGGAGGCUUUCCAAGAGGAAGAGAUACCUUCCCAGCCCAGCCUGGAGGUGUCCAGCCUGUGGAGGCUUUAUCAACUUCCUGCGGCCUUCCGCGUUCAUUGGCCAACAGAACACAGUAGAAGUAUUGAUGCACCUAUUCUGAGCCUAGAUCCCAGUACUGUGUGUGUCUGCUUUCUCUCUGGAACCUCUACCAUGCCAUGCAAACAAGCCCUGGCCAGUCUGCUAGAAGAUGAGAAACUUCAUGGAGCAAAGAUAAUCAUCUUAACUGCUCAUCUUGCACUUGAAUUAAUUAGCUGAUGAGCACAUUCAUGAAUAACAAUAACUGACAAUUAUCUUAAGCCAGAGAAUUUGGGGGUAAUUUUUAUGGAGCAAUAACCAACUGACACAUAGCAUUAACAUUUCCCCUCUAAUUAUGCAGUUGUCAAUUUGUCUUUAUACUUUUGGUACUUUUACUUUUUAUAUUUUUGAGGCUAUGAAUUCAGGUGUAUGUAAUUUUAUGAUUUCUUAUCAUCUUUGUGUUUUACAUCUUUUACCAAUGUAAGUGUAUCUUGUAUUCAUGUGAAAUGUAUUCCCUGUAAACAUCACAUUUAUAUUUUGAGCAAUAUGAACAUUGAUGUAGCACUUUUAUUUGGGUUGCUUUUUGGCUGGUAUGCUUUUUGCCCCAACUCAUAUAUAUUUAAAUGCUCUGUGGAUUUUUGUUCUGAUUGUGUCUUCUUAUGUGUGGUCCACCAUUCCUUUGCUUCUUUUUGUUGUCUCUUUCUGUGUUUUCUGUUGAAUUAUCAAGUCCUCCCACUUUGUUUUUUUGUUAUCUGUUUGAAAAUUCAGAUUUCAAAAAGCUAAUAAGUAAUAUCUUGCUUUUUCCUCUUGUGUGUUCUGAAGCAACUGAGAGAUAGACAAGAGAGUAAGGCAGACAGAGGUCAAAUGCCACCUGUAUUACUAACAAAGGUUUUGGAGAAUGUGACUCUAAGUCUGUUGUCUCUGAAUUAGGUAGAAUUACCUGGUCCCUAGUAGUGCUGAGUAACCACAGAACUCCUUCCUCAGGGACAAAGUUGAGCAGAGCAGAAUGUGUGUUCUCUCCUGAUAAGCAGAUCCCAAGGGAGGAAGAAGAUUAGAAGGGGCUGAGCUAAGCAUUCAGUUAUGUUGGAGGAGGUCAUCGAGAGGAUAUGACCACUGUUGACUCAUGAGCUGGAUCUGGGCAGUUAGAGGCUCCUCACUGUCUCCCUGUCCUUGGAAUGUAUGUUCUGCCCAUCAUUCCCAAGUGGGAGCUGUUCCAAGGACAUAGCCUUAUGAGAGUAAGGGGUUGUUGAGACCAUCUGGGCAGUAUACAUGACUGAAACCAGUUAAAUCCUCCAUUUAAACUUCUAAGAGUCCGGCGGGCAGGUAUGGAAACUUUCUUGUCUUAUGGCAAGCCUCCUAUGCAGAUUUCCUUGCUUAUUAAGACUGUUACCUGCCGGUCUGGAGUAGGCUGGCUCUUUCUUCAGUCUCUCCUUGCCCUCAGUGUACAGGGGCCGGUUUGCAAACCAACAAGUUGCCUUUCCUAAACUAUCAUUCAGAGAAGUAAUUUUGACUCUCCCAGACAAGAGUGAGAAGGAGUGGCCCGAGUGCCCAGGAAUACUAUUUUAAUAAAAAUCACCCCUAGAAACACAAGUGGAGGCAUAGGUAUUCUUAGAAAAUAAAUAGUAUAUUCCACAUCUGUUCUCUUAGUUAUUAUGCCCACAUUUUUAGUAUAUCUUUCCUAUGGCUGUUGUAACAAUUACCACAAAUUAGGGGGUUUAAAACAACACACAUUUAUUCUUGUACUGUUCUAGAGGCCAGAAGUCUGAUAGCAGUAUCCUGGGUGACAGCAGGGUCAUGCUUCUUCCAGGUGCUCUCGGGCACGGAUCUCUUCCUUUUCUUUUCCACCUCCGAGACUUCCAUCUUCAAAGGCAGAUGUUUAGCGUCUUGCUUUGGUCAUUACACUGACUCUGUCUCUGCUCUCAUCACAUUUCUUAUGUGGACACUUAUGAUUACGUUUAAGACCCACCUGAACAUUCCAGUGUUGUUGUCCCGUCUCGGGAUCCUUAAUCCCAGCUGCAACGUCCCUUUGUCAUAUAAAAUAAUAUUCACAGGCUCUGGAGAUUCGGACAUGGCUGUCUCUGGGGGACAUUACUCAGUCUAACGCCCAUAUAUAGUUAACAUUUUUAUUUCUCCAACAAGUCUAAACUUAGAGCCUCCUUUCUGUCCUUCUCCCAAAUAAGCCGGGACUUAAUGUUGUUGUCUAUGAUUUUUAAUUCUAACAUUUUAAAAUGUACACAUUAUGGUUGUUUGACUAUUAUAAAUAUUUACUGAGAUUACCAAUGUGGUUUUAUGAUGUCUACUUACUACUUUUUGCAUAUCAUUCCUUUCUUCUGGGUUCAUUUUCCUUGCAUCUCAAGUAUGUUUUUUAGAAGUUAGUUUAUUCUGAUUUUUAUCUUUCUAUAAAAAUUUGUAUCUAAAAUUGUUUUUAAUCCAUCUUCCCUUUCAAUUUAAUUUAGUUGAUUAUAGAAUUUUAGGUUCAUGAUAUUGUUUUUUUCCUCAGAAUUGUACCACAGUUCCUAGCAGAGAACUAGAACCUCUGGAUGAAUGAAUGAAUUUUGCAGACAUUAGGAAAAUAGAAUAGUGAAAAUAAUCCUGGAUUAGGGGUCAGAAAAACUGGCCUUAAAUGCCAGAUCUUCUACUUAUUACAAUUAGGCUUUGGAAAGCCAUUUAACAUAAUAAUCUCACUUGAAAAUUGGAAUAAUAGUCUUCACCCUAAUUCACAACAUCCUUGUCAGUCUUAAAAAAAAUAAUGAAUUUGCAAAUUAUGUAUGGUGAAAUUGUACAACUUCUUAGUAAUUGAUUAUUUAUUAUUAUGAUUUAGAAUUGUUGAUAAGGUUGGUUUAUUUUUCAUUGCUAUACAAUAGAAUUAUUUAUGUUUCAUAGAUGUAAUUCUCAACUGUGGAAUUUAAGUAGAUCAAUUCAUAAAAAGUAUACUGCCCCAGCAAAAAUAGACAUUGUAUAAUUAAAGAUUCUCCUCUAGUAUAUCAAUAUAGUGCUUUCAUUAUGAUGGUUUUUGAAAUAACUUUAAGUAUAAAUGCUUAAUUGGAAAACUUGAUAUCCUUUGCAGUAAUGUUUUCUUGACAGGAAAUUACUUAUAUGAGAUUAUUUUAGCAAAUUGAUUACAUCUGUAGUUUAGAAUGAAUAAUGACCCAGAAUCCAUAAUGGUUAGAAACAUUUUUUUUUCCCUUUGCAUUGCUAUCAGUCACACCAAGCAUUUUAUCCUCACAGAUAAGAUUUUCAAAGAAGCUAUUAGAGAUGAGGUUGAGGGAACAAGAUGGAUUUGUUUUGGCAUAAGGAUGGAGUUAACUCUUCCAUAUCCUACAAAGACACAAACACACACAUAUAUGUUUUAAUAGAAGAGUCAUCUAGUUAAAUUAUUCUUGUCUGCCUUGGUGGUGUUUGCUCAGCUUACUUAGAGAAACUGGUUAUCUGCAGAUUAUCAUCCCUAUCUCUUUGUCACCCCCUGAAAUUGAGGAGAAAUUAUUUCUGUUUUUGCCUGGUCACACUCAGUUAUGUUUGAUGGGCCUCCUCAGAAUUUAAAUUGAUCAGUUUCCUAAUCCUCCACUUUGAAAUAAAAUACUCAGCUGUUAUUGGUUCCCAAUAUAGAUAUUAGAAAUGCUUAUUAGUCUGUAAGGCUUUCUUCCACACUUUGGCACAAACACCUCAUUUACCAAAGUGGUUAUAAUGAUGGAAAUAGAAGCUAAAGCAUCAGUUCAUAAUGGGUAGAAGGAGGUGGGUAGCAGCUGGGUUCAGCAGGUUGAUUGCUAUUUGUCCCCUUGGGCAUUUUCCAGAGAAACCUUUAAGAUUUAUUCUCAUCAUGUUGCAGAGUCAUGAACCUAAGGGACUGCCACUUAAUGUCCCAACUAGAGACCAAUUUUCUUUGAUAUUCAUUGGGAUGGACACAGGUACAACUUUACCCCUCAGAUUUUAGGUCUCAAACUAUUAAUAACCUGUUUACAAUUGCUUUUAUAUUUUUUCAGCUAAUCUUGGCAUGUUAAGGGUUCUAUUGCCAUGAGCACAGUGAUUGGUACAGAAGAGAGGAAAGUAAACAUUACAUGUAAAAUGAAUGAAAACUUUUAAUUUCUCCUUUUAAAAAAAUUGAAGUACUAUUUUUUUAGAGGCCAA